CCAGCCAUAGCACGUUAAAACAUCGGUUUUUGUACGAUCACCAAAAUUAAGCAACAUCGAGCCUAGUCAGUACCUAGAUGGGUGACACUUGGGAAUAUCAGGUGUCGUAAG
Acanthosepion pharaonis is the source of this 111-nucleotide non-coding RNA. The record is from the annotation of a GenBank genome assembly. Lineage: Eukaryota; Metazoa; Mollusca; Cephalopoda; Sepiida; Sepiidae.